AUUUAUUAGAUUAAAAACCAAUGGCACUUGUGUCUUUUGKGUUGACUCAUAAUAACUGUUCGGACCUCAUGGCUUUACGCCGGAGGCAGUUCAAUCAAAUUUCUGCCCUAUCAGCUCUCGACGGUAGUGUAGUGGACUACCGUGGCGGUAACGGGUGACGGAGAAUUAGGGUUCGAUUCCGGAGAGGGAGCCUGAGAAACGGCUACCACAUCCAAGGAAGGCAGCAGGCGCGCAAAUUACCCAAUCCCGACACGGGGAGGUAGUGACAAGAAAUAACAAUGCCGGGCCUUUUCAGGUCUGGCAAUUGGAAUGAGUACAAUUUAAACACCUUAACGAGGAUCCACUGGAGGGCAAGUCUGGUGCCAGCAGCCGCGGUAAUUCCAGCUCCRGUAGCGUAUAUUAAAGUUGUUGCAGUUAAAAAGCUCGUCGUUGGAUUUCUGGUUUAAGCCGCCUAACCGGCCAACGUUAGUUGAUUGCCAGUGUUGGGAUCGUUGCUUUACCAUCCGCUCAUCUUUUGGAAGCUGUACUCUUCAUUGAGCCGCAGUUAUUUUCCGGUUGAGCCAUUUACUUUGCUUA
This 576-nucleotide ribosomal RNA is filed under the name uncultured eukaryote. RNAcentral's name for it is "bacterial SSU rRNA". It matches the Rfam family "Eukaryotic small subunit ribosomal RNA", at positions 205 to 788 of the family's 1831-position model. The record is from RNAcentral.